UUGAACGCUGGCGGCAGGCCUAACCCAUGCAAGUCGAACGGUAACAGGAAGAAGCUUGCUUCUUUGCUGACGCGUGGCGGACGGGUGAGUAAUGUCUGGUAAACUGCCUGAUGGAGGGGGAUAACUACUGGAAACGGUAGCUAAUACCGCAUAACGUCGCAAGACCAAAGAGGGGGACCUUCGGGCCUCUUGCCAUCGGAUGUGCCCAGAUGGGAUUAGCUAGUAGGUGGGGUAACGGCUCACCUAGGCGACGAUCCCUAGCUGGUCUGAGAGGAUGACCAGCCACACUGGAACUGAGACACGGUCCAGACUCCUACGGGAGGCAGCAGUGGGGAAUAUUGCACAAUGGGCGCAAGCCUGAUGCAGCCAUGCCGCGUGUAUGAAGAAGGCCUUCGGGUUGUAAAGUACUUUCAGCGGGGAGGAAGGGAGUAAAGUUAAUACCUUUGCUCAUUGACGUUACCCGCAGAAGAAGCACCGGCUAACUCCGUG
This 489-nucleotide ribosomal RNA is filed under the name uncultured bacterium. RNAcentral's name for it is "partial 16S ribosomal RNA". It matches the Rfam family "Bacterial small subunit ribosomal RNA", at positions 30 to 507 of the family's 1533-position model. The record is from RNAcentral.